CGGGAAACCGGAGCUAAUACCGGAUAAUAUAUUGAACCGCAUGGUUCAAUAGUGAAAGACGGUUUUGCUGUCACUUAUAGAUGGAUCCGCGCUGCAUUAGCUAGUUGGUAAGGUAACGGCUUACCAAGGCAACGAUGCGUAGCCGACCUGAGAGGGUGAUCGGCCACACUGGAACUGAGACACGGUCCAGACUCCUACGGGAGGCAGCAGCG
RNAcentral lists this ribosomal RNA (212 nucleotides) under uncultured Staphylococcus sp. RNAcentral's name for it is "partial 16S ribosomal RNA". It matches the Rfam family "Bacterial small subunit ribosomal RNA", at positions 150 to 356 of the family's 1533-position model. Lineage: Bacteria; Bacillati; Bacillota; Bacilli; Caryophanales; Staphylococcaceae. The record is from RNAcentral.